UUAAUUGAAACCAAAUUAGAGGUAUAUCAUUGUUAAUGAUACCAUUGAAUUAAAUUCCAAUUAAA
RNAcentral lists this transfer RNA (65 nucleotides) under Erotylidae sp. BMNH 1274780. RNAcentral describes it as "tRNA-Asn". The record is from RNAcentral. Lineage: Eukaryota; Metazoa; Arthropoda; Insecta; Coleoptera; Erotylidae.